UUUAAGGAGCACCUACUUGAAGCUCUUGUGCUCUGAUUACCACUUGAUGGAAACUUGCUUGUGGGGCUUCUAUGGAGGCUGGAUCUUUGAGCUUCAAUGAGGUCCUUUAAUGGUAAUUUUCCACCAUGGAGAUGCAACGAAAGACAAAGGAGAAGAGGUGAGAGGAGGCGCCAUCCACUAGGGAAUAAGCCAUGGAAGAAAGAGCUUCACCACCAAGAUGAGCCUUGGAUAAGAAGCUUGGAAGGAUGCUUCAAUGGAGGAAAAGAAAGAGGGAGAGAAAGAGAGAGGGGGGAGCACGAAAUUGAAGGAAUAAAAGAGGGAGAGAAGUGGAACUUUGAAGUAUGUCUCACAAGACUC
Molecule: long non-coding RNA, 357 nt
Filed under: Glycine max (soybean)
Lineage: Eukaryota; Viridiplantae; Streptophyta; Magnoliopsida; Fabales; Fabaceae
Description: long non-coding RNA (GMAX_LNC002195)
Source: RNAcentral